This is an RNA transcript of Grus americana (Whooping crane), 6537 nucleotides long. It is a transcript of the gene named insulin receptor substrate 4, with no coding region annotated. NCBI's taxonomy places the organism in Eukaryota, Metazoa, Chordata, Aves, Gruiformes, Gruidae. The transcript is spliced from 5 exons. The record is from RefSeq and is a predicted model, not a curated record.
GCAAGUAGCCGGACGCGGCGCGGCCGGCUGGAGGGCGCGGACGGGGGCGGCGGGUGGGCGCGCAGGCAGGCACCGCCCGCUCCCCAUGCGCGGCCCGUCGCGGGGGGCGCUUCCCCGGUGAGGGCGGAUUCCCGCUGCCCGCCUCGUACCCCUUCCCCGGUGCUCCGGACCCUGCCUGGCCCCUAAGAUGGCGAGUGGGAUGAAUGGCCCGGGCGGCGGCGCGGCGACCGGGGGCGGCGAGGAGGAGCCGGGCGCCCGCCACACGGGAGGUGGAGCCGUCCCUCAGCAGGAGCCCGGCGUGCCCGGCGCGGCGGCGGCGGCGGGCGAGGGGGAGCCGGCGACGGGCGAGGGCGGCCGCUGCCCGUCCCCUCAGCCCCACCACCUGCUGCUGAUGCUGCGGCGCUCGCCCAGCGCCUCGCUCUGCCCGGCGCCGGAGGCCGCCCCCGCGGCGGGCCGCGCCGUCCCCGCGGUGGGCCGCGGCGGGCAACCCCCCCCGGCGGGCCGCGGCGUCCCCCCGCCCUCCGCCGCCGCCGGGGAGGACGUGAGGAAGUGCGGCUACCUGCGGAAGCAGAAGCACGGGCACAAGCGCUACUUCGUCCUGCGGGCUGAGAGCCACCUGGCCCCCGCCCGGCUGGAGUACUACGACAGCGAGAAGAAGUUCAAGAGCAGCCUGCGGGCGGCGGGGGCCGGCGGGGCGGCCUCCCUCUGCUGCCCCCCGCCCAAGCGGGUCAUCCCCCUCUACCAGUGCUUCACCGUCAGCCGGCGGGCGGACGCCAAGCACAAGCACAUCAUCGCCUUGUACACCAAGGACGAGUACUUCGCCAUGCUGGCAGAGAACGAGGCCGAGCAGGAGGCCUGGUACCAGGCGAUCAGCGAGCUCAUGAGCCAGAGCAAGAGGGGCUUCCUGGAGCAGGAGGACCAUGCUGAUCAGCAGGUGGACGAGGACGACGAGCACUACGGGGCUGCCCUGAGGCCUGGCACCGUCUUCAAGGAGGUGUGGCAAGUCAACGUUAAGCCCAAAGGGUUGGGACAAACAAAAAACCUUACUGGAGUGUAUAGGUUGUGCCUCUCCAGCAAGGCCAUCCACCUCGUCAAGCUGAACUCGGAGGUCCCCUCCGUCCACUUGCAGCUGAUGAACAUUCGGCGCUGUGGACACUCGGAAAACUUCUUCUUCAUCGAAGUGGGCAGAUCUGCCUCCAUUGGACCUGGAGAGCUCUGGAUGCAAGUGGAUGAUUCGGUGGUUGCCCAGAAUAUGCACGAGACUUUUCUGGAGACCAUGAAAGCUCUAAAGGCCUUUGCGGAGUUCAGGCCCCGAAGCAAGAGCCAGUCUUCUGGUGGUGGUAGCGGUACCAAUCCUAUCUCCUUCAUCACCACGAGGAGGCACUUGGGCAACCUGCCCCCCAGCCAGACAGGCUUGCAGAGAAGACCUAGAACCGAGAGUGUUGCCGGAGGGACUCCUCCUACCACCAAAAGCAGCAACUCCUAUCGCUUCAGAACAUCCAGCGAAGGAGAAGGAACCAUGACUAGACCUUUUAGGUCGGUGACUGGGAGUCUGAUCCACCUCAAUACUGCGAGAAUGAAUUUGGGCCGGCAAGAAGGGAGUGGAAGGUACGUGAGAGCCGCUUUCAGCUCGUCUUACCACACCAGGUCUGCUUCGCUGCCUGUUUCUCAUUUUCCCUCCACUACAAGUCCCAUCAGUGUUUCUUCCAGCAGUGGCCACGGCUCUGCUUCGGACAUGCUGACCAGGCCUUCUAGCUCAUCCGUUUGUGGUUCCCCAAGCGAUGGGGGAUUUAUAUCUUCUGAUGAAUAUGGCUCCAGCCCCGGAGAUUUCAGGUACUUUCGGGUCAGGAGUAACACACCGGAUUCCCUGGGAAACACGCCGCCUAUCAGAGAGGAGAACUGUCUGAGCGAGUACAUGUCCAUGAGUAAGCAACAGGCAGAUGAUAACUCAAGAGAUGAUUACAUGGAGGCUGAGAAGUGUCUCAGGAAAAGAACUUACUCUCUAACAAAACCAACUUCUGUAGCAGUGCAGCAGAAGACGACACAAACUACAGCUUCAUUAGAUGAAGACUCUGCAGGAAAUCAUGGACGAUUACUUUACUCUGAAACACCAAAAUUGAAAGAUAACCAUGAAUUGGAGUACAACGAUGCUAACCUUGAUUCCAUAUGUAACCAAAGUAGGAGUAAAGCCAGGGAUGAUGGGUACAUGCCAAUGAUGCCAGGAGUUGCAUCUUCUCUAUCCAGCAACAGCGAUUAUUUGCCAAUGACUCCUAAAAGUAUGUCUGUUCCAAGACAGAUUAACAAUUCAUGGUCACCGUCUCAGGUUGACUCCAGAGGAUAUAUGAUGAUGUUUCCAAAGGCUAGCUCUUCACCUGUACGAAGUCCUUUAACUGGAUUUAUUUCUAAAGGAAGUAAUGAGAAGAUCAUAAACAAUGAGUAUAUGGAUAUGUCACCUGGUAAUUCAGCUCCAAAGCACCCCGGUGAUUCGAAUUAUAUUCACACCGCUUCUGUUUCCAAAGGUUUCAGUUCAUAUUUUUCUUUGCCCCGAAGCUUUAAGGCGCUGUCAGGACAAAACGGUGACCACAGUGAAUAUGUUCCAAUGUCUUCACCUGGAAAACUCUUGUAUGGUGGACCAGAAAAUGCAAAAGGGGUCAACAGCGAAGUUCUGGCUAACGGCAUCUCUAAAUCGCCAGUGGUAAAAGGUUCAGAUGAAGGACUUGUGCAGAACAGGGCUACUAGGCCCACAAGACUCCCUCUAGGUACAAGAGGGAGUAAUACUAUCCCAAGAAUGUAUGAUCGUACAGUCCCACCUGAGCCAGCGAGUCCCGGUGAAUACAUAAAUAUUGAUUUUAAUGAAAAGGCGAGUAAUACACCAUACUCCUUAUCUGCAGAAGGAUCGCCAUCAUCUCUAGGCUCAAGUAGUGACCACAGACAGUCCCCGCUUUCUGAUUAUAUGAGUGUUGACUUGGAUGUGCAGUCACCAAAAGCAGCAAAGGAACUGUCCAACUCUUUAACAGAUAUUUCCAUUUAUGCAAGUUCCAGUAUUCCUAGAAACCAACCAAAUCCUGACUACGCUAGGCUUUCGUUUGGUACUGCUUGUGUUAGCACCGCGAGUAACAGGACUGAUGACUACACAGAGAUGACAUUCAACAUGGCGGCAACUCCACCUCGGCCCUUUGCCACCGAAUCCAACAAUGGUGUAAAAAUUGAUAGCCCUUCUUCCAUAGUUAAUAGACUAUGCAUUGUUGAUCGAUAUGCUGGUAGCAGUAGCUUCUCUGUUCCUAGCUCUGAACCUCCCAUGGGACCGAAAGUGAUUCGAGCUGAUCCUCAAGGCAGGAGGAGACACAGUUCUGAGACAUUCUCUUCUGCUGGGACUGUGACAACCUCUUCCUCGUUCUUUACUGAUAGUAGCAAAAGACACAGCUCUGCCUCAUUUGACAAUGUUUGGUUAAAACCGGAUGAAAACAUUUCUGAUGGUCAGGAAAGCAAAAUGUCCAGGGAUACCUCAACUGGAUUUCAGAAUGGCUUAAACUACAUCGCUCUGAAUUUACGCGAUGAUCCUAUAAGCUGUGAGGCAAGUACUACAGCGCCAACUUGCCAUCUCCAAAAUGGUACUUCAGGUUUGGACAGUGGAGCUUACGUAAGCAUAGAUUUCAGCAGAUCUGAUGGUCUGAAGUGUAAUGCUGCGAGAAAAGGAAACAAACUCUACAGUUUUAAGUACUGUUGUGAUCAAAUGUGGCAUUCUUCAACUUAAAGGAAAAUGGAGUGAUAAAACUGAAAGGCAGAUUGUGGUGAACAAAAAAUCAGUUAGAAAUGAGUUGAAAAAAUGAAGAGAUUUGAUCUUGAGGUCCUUCAGACAAUAUUACGACAGUGAGUCUGUUAAUGAAAGCUUGCAGCUCCUGACGUGAUCUCUACUCAUUGUAGAACCUGAACAGGUGGCAUCUCUGGGCUUCAGGCAAUCUUCUAGCAUUGAGGAGGAGGCAGCAGCAUGGCUUCGGAGGAUUUGUAACCGGUGUGUCAGAGCAUUUGGAGUCCAGCUCAAAACUGGGAGGUCUGGAUGGCACCCGCUCAUCACUGCGGUGCUUUCAGCUGCUUCAGAGCAGCCUGCGGAAGCUGGAGUGCAAGACUGACUGCAUUGCCAUGGAAACCAUUGUUGGAAGAGAAGACUUUUCUGCUGGUAACUCCAGAAACUGUGUGGUGCUUUUGGAAGCAAAGCUCAGCUCCAGCCGGCUACUUUCAUUUCCACCAGCACGGACAUAGACACACAUCCUUUUAAUUAAUUUUUUCAUAGACAUCAGCUCUCUACAGUUGAAUUAAUUUGAAUUGAGAUUUUUUUUCAUAGCUGUGCUUUGGUGAUGGAAUUUGGUCUUUCACGUCAUAUCUAUUUGGUGGGAGGCAGUGUGAAUGCUGAUAGGAGAUCCCUGUAUGCCCCUUUCUUCCUCUUGCCUCUCCCAUUAAAUUUUUUUUUUUUAAUUUAUAUUCUGAGAAGUUAAAGCUGGUUUCUGAUUGUCUGUUUAACAUGGGGUUUGCUUCUCUGGUACAUUAACAAGUGGUUAGCUUAAAACAUGUAUUGUUGAGAAAUAUUUUGGCAGUUCAGGAUUUUUUUCAGGUGGCUGGGCGGAAGGAGGGAGGGAGAGGGGCACAUUAGCUCCGGGGGUGAACCCAUGGGACUGAACAGGUCUGGGAAGGAGAGACCUCUUCUGCCCCUUGGUUGGUUUGUUGUUUUGGUUUUUUUUUUUUAAGGUUUUGCUUUUUUGGUACAAGAGGUAUUUCUUGAUAAUAGGCUAGGAUAUUUUAAAUCAAUUGUCUGUCAGAGCUUAAACAAUUUAUUUUUUUGCUCAGAAUUUUGGUAUGUACAAAGUAGGAUUAAUGGGCUGGUUGUCUUGUAGAUUGUUUUUGUUCUUACCCUCAAGAUACUCAUUUAUAAAUACGAAUUGUGUAAAAUGAGGUUUUUGUUCAUGCAUUCAAAUGGAGAACUGCAGAGUCGUAUCCAGCGUUUGUGACUUCUGCAUUAUAUUUGUCAGCUGUAGCUUUUUAAAGGGAAACCACCCUAAUUGAUCUUACCUUCAACCAAAGCCCCAUUUUUAAUUUGGGACUAUUUUUGUUCUUUCUUCCUGGCAUAAUGGGGAAAAAAGUAAAAUGUUGGCUCAUCAAUUGUCUUUAUCCCACUUACAGAAAUGGGAACAAUGACUAUUUGCCACUUUGAAAAGAAGCCCUGAUUUUUCUACAAUUUAAGUGCUUCACUCUUGUACUGAGUUUUGUUUUGGUUGAAAUGAAUUUAGGUUUUUAACACUGCUAUGAACUUAAAGAGCAUGACACUAGUCGUUGGUACAUGCAAUGUAUAAUAAAAGGCACUGACGAUUAAUAAAGGGUUUAGAAGUGGUACACAAAUCCUCAUGCUGUACUGCACCACACAGCUGGUAAUCCUCUACAUUGUAUAUUGUACAACUGAUUUGUCAGGCUGCCUCACCUCUAACAUACAACCUUUCAAUUGCUAGUACAGUUUGUAUAACAAAUAAGACACUGUCAACUUUGAUUGUUUGGUGAUGUGUACCCAAAUCUAUUUUUGAGUAGUAUUAAAAUGUACAUGUCACUAAAAUAUGAAGACUUUUUUUUGGAAACAUGGUACCAAUCAGUUUACGCAGUGUCUAGUGACAGGAAAAAAACUGUUGCUACAGGGUUUAAAAGCACAGAUCUGUUUUUGAUUCUGGAAGAUAAGUUGGGUACAGUUACUUGUUGCUGCUAAACAUACACUAAUUAAAAAUACGACCACUCUUACAGACCAUGAUACUGUCUUGCCAUAUAGCUCUUGUUUGGUCUCGUAAAUUAAUAAUGCAAUAUGUAGACAGCUUUUUUAAAGCUUUACAUCUUUUCUAAGAAAUCAAAAUUUGGAUGACGAUAGUUCUAAACAUUUAAUGUGAAAGGAAAAGGUUGUUUUGAAGAAAUUUGUUACAUACUUAUUUCAUAUUAGAUCCCUGAGGCUGCCAUUGUACAAUAUACAGCACUGAUUUAAUAAAUGCUGAAUAAAUAAGUAAAUGGGUAACCUCAAGUAUAGUGGUACAAAUACUAAUAGGUACAGCAUAAUAAAUAUGCAAUCUUUUUGAAUCUCUUAGUUUACAGCAACUAAUUUAUUCAGUAUUGUGCUGGAAGAACAUUUUCAGAUGAUGUAAAACAUAUCACUAUAUAUACUAUCUUCCAGCUACCCGUUUAUGCUGCUGUAUAGUACAAAAAUACCAAUGAUAGAACAAUGUUUGUCCUGUAAAUUUAAUUUGAUAUUGGACAGUUAUUGUCUGUACAAACUAAAACAUAUAUGGUUGAAACUGUUCAUUAUAUUUGCUAUUUCUGCUUCACAGAUCUGUUUUAAAGUUGAGCUGAUUGAUCUGGCUUUGUCUUCCAUUGUAAAUAUUGUUAUGUUGUUUUCUUUGUAAAACACAUCGCGUUUGCGGUUUUGGGAGACUGGCUUGAAGCUCUGUAUAGUGUUUAUAUUUAUCUGACUUGGCUUUCCAUAGAGCUACUUGCAGUAAAUACGUGUUCAUG